RNAcentral lists this ribosomal RNA (253 nucleotides) under uncultured bacterium. RNAcentral describes it as "partial 16S ribosomal RNA". It matches the Rfam family "Bacterial small subunit ribosomal RNA", at positions 524 to 776 of the family's 1533-position model. The record is from RNAcentral.
UACAGAGGGUGCGAGCGUUGUCCGGAAUCACUGGGCGUAAAGGGCGCGUAGGUGGCGCGACAAGUCAGUGGUGAAAGCUCGACGCUCAACGUCGAGUCGGCCACUGAUACUGUUGGGCUUGAGCACUGUAGAGGCUAAUGGAAUUCCGGGUGUAGCGGUGGAAUGCGUAGAGAUCCGGAAGAACACCGGUGGCGAAGGCGGUUAGCUGGGCAGUUGCUGACACUGAGGCGCGACAGCGUGGGGAGCAAACAGG